This 303-nucleotide unclassified non-coding RNA is filed under the name plant metagenome. RNAcentral describes it as "partial contains 5.8S ribosomal RNA, internal transcribed spacer 2, and large subunit ribosomal RNA". The stretch from base 1 to 105 matches the Rfam family "5.8S ribosomal RNA", at positions 50 to 154 of the family's 154-position model. The record is from RNAcentral.
GAAAUGCGAUAAGUAGUGUGAAUUGCAGAAUUCAGUGAAUCAUCGAAUCUUUGAACGCACAUUGCGCCCUUUGGUAUUCCUUAGGGCAUGCCUGUUCGAGCGUCAUCUAAACCCUCAAGCCCUGCUUGGUGUUGGGUGCCUGUCCCGCCCCCGUGCGCGGACUCACCUCAAAUCCAUUGGCGGCCCUCGUGCCGGCCCGAGCGCAGCAGAAACGCGGUCUCGUGGCCCGGCGGAGCGUGCCCCCAGAAGCAACAUUCACCGUUUUGACCUCGGAUCGGGUAGGGAUACCCGCUGAACUUAAGC